RNAcentral lists this ribosomal RNA (504 nucleotides) under uncultured bacterium. Its description in RNAcentral is "partial 16S ribosomal RNA". It matches the Rfam family "Bacterial small subunit ribosomal RNA", at positions 28 to 506 of the family's 1533-position model. The record is from RNAcentral.
GACGAACGCUGGCGGCGUGCCUAAUACAUGCAAGUAGAACGCACAGUUUAUACCGUAGCUUGCUACACCAUAGACUGUGAGUUGCGAACGGGUGAGUAACGCGUAGGUAACCUGCCUGGUAGCGGGGGAUAACUAUUGGAAACGAUAGCUAAUACCGCAUAAUAUUAAUUAUUGCAUGAUAAUUAAUUGAAAGGUGCAAUUGCACCACUACCAGAUGGACCUGCGUUGUAUUAGCUAGUAGGUGAGGUAACGGCUCACCUAGGCGACGAUACAUAGCCGACCUGAGAGGGUGAUCGGCCACACUGGGACUGAGACACGGCCCAGACUCCUACGGGAGGCAGCAGUAGGGAAUCUUCGGCAAUGGACGAAAGUCUGACCGAGCAACGCCGCGUGAGUGAAGAAGGUGUUCGGAUCGUAAAGCUCUGUUGUAAGAGAAGAACGGGUGUGAGAGUGGAAAGUUCACACUGGGACGGUAUCUUACCAGAAAGGGGCGGCUAACUACGU